RNAcentral lists this ribosomal RNA (423 nucleotides) under uncultured bacterium. RNAcentral describes it as "partial 16S ribosomal RNA". It matches the Rfam family "Bacterial small subunit ribosomal RNA", at positions 360 to 774 of the family's 1533-position model. The record is from RNAcentral.
AAUCUUCCGCAAUGGACGAAAGUCUGACGGAGCGAUGCCGCGUGAGUGAUGAAGGUCUUCGGAUCGUAAAACUCUGUUGUUAGGGAAGAACAAGGAGCGGGGUAAUAUGCCGGUACCUUGACGGUAACUAACAAGAAAGCCCCGGUUAACUACGUGCCAGCAGCUGCGGGAAAACGUAGGGGGAAAGCGUUGUCCGGAAUUAUUGGGCGUAAAGGGCACGCAGGCGGUUAUUUAAGUCUAAUGUGAAAUCUUGUGGCUUAACCACAAGCGGUCAUUGGAAACUGGAUAACUUGAGUACAGAAGAGGAGAGUGGAAUUCCACGUGUAGCGGUGAAAUGCGUAGAGAUGUGGAGGAACACCAGUGGCGAAGGCGGCUCUCUGGUCUGUAACUGACGCUGAGGUGCGAAAGCGUGGGUAGCGAACA